This 490-nucleotide ribosomal RNA is filed under the name uncultured bacterium. RNAcentral describes it as "partial 16S ribosomal RNA". It matches the Rfam family "Bacterial small subunit ribosomal RNA", at positions 30 to 507 of the family's 1533-position model. The record is from RNAcentral.
AUUGAACGCUGGCGGCAGGCCUAACACAUGCAAGUCGAACGGUAACAGGAAGAAGCUUGCUUCUUUGCUGACGAGUGGCGGACGGGUGAGUAAUGUCUGGGAAACUGCCUGAUGGAGGGGGAUAACUACUGGAAACGGUAGCUAAUACCGCAUAACGUCGCAAGACCAAAGAGGGGGACCUUCGGGCCUCUUGCCAUCGGAUGUGCCCAGAUGGGAUUAGCUAGUAGGUGGGGUAACGGCUCACCUAGGCGACGAUCCCUAGCUGGUCUGAGAGGAUGACCAGCCACACUGGAACUGAGACACGGUCCAGACUCCUACGGGAGGCAGCAGUGGGGAAUAUUGCACGAAGGGCGCAAGCCUGAUGCAGCCAUGCCGCGUGUAUGAAGAAGGCCUUCGGGUUGUAAAGUACUUUCAGCGGGGAGGAAGGGAGUAAAGUUAAUACCUUUGCUCAUUGACGUUACCCGCAGAAGAAGCACCGGCUAACUCCGUG